UUGUUGGUAAGGUAAAAGCUUACCAAGGCUUCGAUCAGUAGCUGGUCUGAGAGGACGACCAGCCACACUGGGACUGAGACACGGCCCAGACUCCUACGGGAGGCAGCAGUGGGGAAUUUUGGACAAUGGGGGCAACCCUGAUCCAGCCAUGCCGCGUGAGUGAAGAAGGCCUUCGGGUUGUAAAGCUCUUUCAGCCGGAACGAAACGGUUACGGUUAACACCCGUGACUACUGACGGUACCGGAAGAAGAAGCACCGGCUAACUACGUGCCAGCAGCCGCGGUAAUACGUAGGGUGCGAGCGUUAAUCGGAAUUACUGGGCGUAAAGCGUGCGCAGGUGGUUUUGUAAGUCAGAUGUGAAAGCCCCGGGCUCAACCUGGGAACUGCGUUUGAAACUACAAGACUAGAGUGUGGCAGAGGGGGGUGGAAUUCCGCGUGUAGCAGUGAAAUGCGUAGAGAUGUGGAGGAACACCGAUGGCGAAGGCAGCCCCCUGGGUCAACACUGACGCUCAGGCACGAAAGCAUGGGGAGCAAACAGGAUUAGAUACCCUGGUAGUCCAUGCCCUAAACGAUGUCAACUAGUUGUCGGGCCUUUACGGGCUUGGUAACGUAGCUAACGCGUGAAGUUGACCGCCUGGGGAGUACGAUCGCAAGAUUAAAACUCAAAUGAAUUGACGGGGACCCGCACAAGCGGUGGAUUAUGUGGAUUAAUUCGAUGCAACGCGAAAAACCUUACCUACCCUUGACAUGUAUCGAAGCCCGCAGAACAGCGGGGGUGCCCGAAAGGGAACGAUAACACAGGUGCUGCAUGGCUGUCGUCAGCUCGUGUCGUGAGAUGUUGGGUUAAGUCCCGCAACGAGCGCAACCCUUGUCAUUAAUUGCCAUCAUUUAGUUGGGCACUUUAAUGAGACUGCCGG
This 916-nucleotide ribosomal RNA is filed under the name uncultured bacterium. Its description in RNAcentral is "bacterial SSU rRNA". It matches the Rfam family "Bacterial small subunit ribosomal RNA", at positions 246 to 1155 of the family's 1533-position model. The record is from RNAcentral.